AGCCUCCCACUCUUCUUCAAACCUUGCCUGGAAGCUCUGCAGAGUUAAAUAUAUAACAAUACAAAAAGAACAAAAUCCUAACCAUGCAUAAAAUUGGGUCAAUCCAACUGCUGAAGGUUUAUGCUUGCUGCAUCUCCUUGACCUAAACCUGUAAUUCGGUUUGAGAGUUGAAAACAAAGUUGUUCAAGUAUUGACACAGUAAUUCAGUAAAUAAAACAAA
This is a non-coding RNA of Taeniopygia guttata (zebra finch), 220 nucleotides long. The record is from RefSeq and is a predicted model, not a curated record. Lineage: Eukaryota; Metazoa; Chordata; Aves; Passeriformes; Estrildidae.